GUGUACCCUUUGCCAGUUGGCAUAAAGAGGCUUUUAGGAUCACAAACAGGAAAGGUCAAAAAAGACUCCCAGCACGAGACCUUAAGAAAAGCCAACAGCCGGCCGAGUGUGGAGGAAAUAACUAUGGCAAGAAUUUAACCCUCUUUCUGCUUGGAGAGAUAUUAGCAACAAAGGGCUAUUGAAUCUAUUUGCAAGGAAGGGAUCCUGCAAGCACCUCAGUCUUCUGCCUCAGCAUUUCUUUCCAGACUUCUAUCUUCCCAUUCAUAUGCUGAGAUUCCUCCAGAGAGUUUUCUUUCAGGGAUUUCUUCUUGAAAUAUUCCUGCACUCCCUCCAAAGGUUAA
Molecule: long non-coding RNA, 341 nt
Organism: Mauremys reevesii (Reeves's turtle)
Lineage: Eukaryota; Metazoa; Chordata; Testudines; Geoemydidae
Exons: 3
Source: RefSeq, a predicted model, not a curated record